RNAcentral lists this long non-coding RNA (3015 nucleotides) under Homo sapiens (human). Its description in RNAcentral is "non-protein coding lnc-ROPN1B-13:5". Lineage: Eukaryota; Metazoa; Chordata; Mammalia; Primates; Hominidae. The record is from RNAcentral.
AGCUGGGCGACUGGCUGAUGGGCGAGGGAGGGCGAGGGAGGGCGCCGCAACGGAACGAGGAACCCGGACAGUGAAGGAGGAAGAAACAAAGGAGCCAGCAGCACUAGAGAGUUCCCUUCUGGUGUGUGAGUGCCCGCCUUCCUUUUUUUUUUUUUUUUUUUUGAGACGGAGUCUCGCUCUGUCGCCCAGGCUGGAGUGCAGUGGCGCGAUCUCGGCUCACUGCAAGCUCCGCCUCCCGGAUUCACGCCAUUCUCCUGCCUCAGCCUCCCAAGUAGCUGGGACUACAGGCACCCGCCACUACGCCCGGCUAGUUUUUUGUAUUUUUAGUAGAGACGGGGUUUCACCGUUUUAGCCGGGAUGGUCUCGAUCUCCUGACCUCGUGAUCCGCCCGCCUCGGCCUCCCAAAGUGCUGGGAUUACAGGCGUGAGCCACCGCGCCCGGCCGAGUGCCCGCCUUCCUAACCACGUCCUAGCCUUCCAUUUGAGGGGCCGUUCCAGGCAUUUUAGGAAGAAAGCUUACAAAAAUAAGAAAGUACAAGAACGAAGCAAACAUCUGUACGUUUUAGUUACUUGGGGUGGGGGGGGGGCAAGCAUGACAUUGGAGUAAAGCCAAUCAUUAUUAUAAAUUAAAAAGAAGCUGUCAUGGAAAUUAGAGAUCUCAGAACAGAGCUAGGUACUCUUCCAGACCCCAGACAAAUCUUUCACCUUGUUUAGGCCUUGGUUUUGGAUUUGUAAAACAAGAGUGCAUGGGUAGAUUUCUAAAGUCUCUCCUAAUUGCUAAUUUUAGUUUAUAAUAACAUGACUUGAGGCUGGGCACAGUGGCUCACGCCUGUAAUCCCAGCACUUUGGGAGGCCGAGGUGGGCGGAUCACUUGAGGUCAGGAGUUCGAGACCAGCCUGGCCAACAUGGUGAAACCCAUUCUCAACUAAAAAUACAAAAAUUAACCGGGCAUGGUGGUGCGUGCCCGUAAUCCCAGCUACUUAAGAGGCUGAGACAGAAGAAUCACUUGAGCCUGGGAGGCGGACGUUGCAGUGAGCCUGAGGAAGGAGAGAGACCCUCUCAUAUUGUUUUAUACUCAGUACCUGUUUUAAGAAAAAAAGAAACAGCAAGGAAGUAAAACCAAAGACAGGCAGCCCAGCGCCAGGCCGGAAACCAGGCCUGGGCCUGCCUGGCCUAAACUCAGUAGUUAAAAAUCAACUCAUAACUUAGAAACCGAUGUUAUUCAUGGAUUCCAGACAUUGUGCAGCAGAACAUUGUGAAACUCCCUGCCCUGUUCUGUUUCUCUCUGACCACCGGUACAUGCAGCCCCUGUCAUGUACCGCUUGUUUGCUCAAAUCAAUCAUGACCCUUUCAUGUGAAAUCUUUAGUGUCGUGAGCCCUUAAAAGGGACAGAAAUUGUGCACUUGGGGAGCUCAGAUUUUGAGGCAGUAGCUUGCUGAUGCUCCCAGCUGGAUAAAGCCCUUCCUUCUACAACUCGGUGUCUGAGAGGUUUUGUCUGCGGCUCAUCCUACUAAAAGCUGAGAUUGCGCCACUGCACUCCAGCCUGGACAACAAGAGCAAGACUCAGUCUCAACGAAAGAAAGAAAAAAACAAAAACCGGCCGGGCAUGGUGGCUCACUCCUGUAAUCCCAGCACUUGGGGAGGCUGAGGUGGGCAGAUCACGAGGUUAGGAGAUCGAGACCAUCCUGGCUAACACGGUGAAACCCCAUCUCUACUAAAAAUACAAAAAAUUAGCCGGGUGUGGUGGCGGGCGCCUGUGGUCCCAGUUACUCGGGAGGCUGAGGCAGGAGAAUGGCAUGAACCUGGGAGGCGGAGCUUGCAGUGAGCCGAGAUUAUGCCACUGCAGUCCAGCCCAGGCAACAGAGCAAGACUCUGUCUCAAAAAAAAAAAAGUAAAUAAAUAAACCUACCGUACAACCCAGCAAUCCCACUACUGAGUAUCUAUCUAAAGGGAAAGAAAUCAACAUAUCAAAAGGAUACCUGCUCUCACAUGUUUACUGAAGGACUAUCACAAUAGCAUAAAUAUGGAACCAGCCUGUGUCCAUGAACAGAUGAAUGGGUAAAGAAUUUGUGGUAUGUAGGCCAGGCACGGUGGUUCACGCCUGUAAUCCCAGCACUUUGGGCAGCUGAGGCUGGUGGAUCACCUGAGGUCAGGAGUUCGAGACCAGCCUGGCCAACAGGGCGAAACCCCAUCUCUAUUAAAAAUACAAAAAUUAGCUGGGCAUGGUGGCGCACACCUGUAAUCCCAGCUACUCUGGAGGCUGAGGCGGGAGAAUUGCUUGAACCUGGGAGGCGGAGGUUGCAGUAAGCUGAGAUCGUACCACUCCAGCCUGGGUGACAGAGUGAGACUCCAUCUCAAAAAAAAAAAAAAAACAAAGACAAAUAAUGGAAAGCCAGGUGUGGUCAUGCACACCUGUAGUCCCAGCUACUUGGGAAGCUGAGAUGGGGGGAAUCACUUAUGCCCAGGAGUUUGAGGGUAGCCUGGGCAACAUAGAAGACCUGUCUCUUUAAAUAAAUACAUAAAUAUAAAAGUGGAAAAAAGCUUGUGGGAUAAAAAUAUAAAAAACAUGAUUCUAAGUGAAAGAUGCAAGACGCAAAAAUGUCACAUACUGUAUGCUUCCAUUUAUGUGAAAUGUCCAGAAUAGGCAAAUCCAUCGAGAUAGAAAGUAGAUGAGUGGUUGCUAGGGAUAGGAGAAAGGAGGAAUGGGAAAUGACUGCUAAUGAGUAUGGGGUUUUCUGGGGGUGGGGGUAAUAAAAAUGUUCUAAAAUUCGAUAAUAGUGAUGGUUGUACAAUCUUGUAAGUAUAUGAAAACUCGAUUGUAUACUUUAAAUGGGUGAAUUUAUGGUGGAUGAAUUAUAUUGUGAUAAUGCUAUUUUUUAAAAAACAAAUUCUCUAGCUGCAUGGAGAAUUAAUUUUAGUGGGAGAAAAAGAGGAAGCGGGGCGACUAGGUAGGAGGAUAUUAUAGGGAAUGAGGGCAGAGAUCAUAGCGGCUUGGACUAGAGUGGUGGCAGUGGGG